CGGUAAUUCCAGCUCCAAUAGCGUAUAUUAAAGUUGUUGCGGUUAAAACGCUCGUAGUUGGAGUUCUGCCAAAAGUGGCCGGUCUACCCUCCGUGGUUUGCACAGGGCAACUUUCGGCAUCAUCCUGGGAAACUUGUAUGCACUUUACUGUGUGACCUUGGGAUCCAGGACUUUUACUUUGAAGAAAUGAGAGUGUUUCAAGCAGGCGAAUGCCUUGAAUACGUUAGCAUGGAAUAAUAGCAUCGGACCUCUUCCCAACGCUGUUGGUUCAUUGGAGUGAGGUAAUGAUAAACAGGGAUAGCUGGGGGCAUCCGUAUUUAACUGUCAGAGGUGAAAUUCUUGGAUUUGUUAAAGACGAACUACUGCGAAAGCAUCUGCCAAGGAUGUUCUCAUUGAUCAAGAACGAAAGUUAGGGGAUCGAAGACGAUCAGAUACCGUCCUAGUCUUAACCAUAAACUAUGCCGACUAGAGAUUGGGGGUAGUACAUUAUUUUGACUCCUCCAGCAUCUUGGGAGAAAUCAGAGUCUUUGGGUUCCGGGGGGAGUAUGGUCGCAAGGCUGAAACUUAAAGGAAUUGACGGAAGGGCACCACCAGGAGUGGAGCCUGCGGCUUAAUUUGACUCAACACGGGGAAACUUACCAGGUCCAGACAUAGUAAGGAUUGACAGACUGAAAGCUCUUUCUUGAUUCUAUGGGUGGUGGUGCAUGGCCGUUCUUAGUUGGUGGAGUGAUUUGUCAGGUUAAUUCCGUUAACGAACGAGACCUUAGCCUGUUAAAUAGUGUCCAGGACCAUUGGUUCUAGGUGAUCACUUCUUAGAGGGACUUCAUGGCUUUAACAUGAGGAAGUGUGAGGCAAUAACAGGUCUGUGAUGCCCUUAGAUGUCCUGGGCUGCACGCGCGCUACACUGAUGCGUUCAACAAGUAUAGAACCUUUUCUUGGAAGGAAUAGGUAAUCUUGUUAAAUCGCAUCGUGAUGGGGAUAGUUUAUUGCAAUUUUUAAUCUUCAACGAGGAAUUCCUAGUAACCGUGAGUCAUCAACUUGCGAUGACUACGUCCCUGCUCUUUGUACACACCGCCCGUCGCUCCUACCGAUUGAGUGGUCCGGUGAAUAAUUCGGACUGCGAUUUUUUCCGUCAGGAUAUUUUUGCAGGAAAUCUAGUGAACCUUAUCACUUAGAGGAAGGAGAAGUCGUAACAAGGUAGCCG
This 1204-nucleotide ribosomal RNA is filed under the name uncultured dinoflagellate. RNAcentral describes it as "SSU rRNA". It matches the Rfam family "Eukaryotic small subunit ribosomal RNA", at positions 577 to 1805 of the family's 1831-position model. The record is from RNAcentral. Lineage: Eukaryota; Dinophyceae.